Molecule: ribosomal RNA, 233 nt
Filed under: uncultured bacterium
Lineage: Bacteria
Description: partial 16S ribosomal RNA
Rfam family: Bacterial small subunit ribosomal RNA
Source: RNAcentral
GCGUUGUUCGGAAUUACUGGGCGUAAAGAGUAUGUAGGCGGAUAUUUAAGUCAGAUGUGAAAUUCCCGGGCUUAACCUGGGAGCUGCAUUUGAUACUGGAUAUCUAGAGUGCGGGAGAGGAAAGUGGAAUUCCUAGUGUAGCGGUGAAAUGCGUAGAGAUUAGGAAGAACACCAGUGGCGAAGGCGACUUUCUGGACCGUAACUGACGCUGAGAUACGAAAGCGUGGGGGAGC